This 524-nucleotide ribosomal RNA is filed under the name uncultured bacterium. RNAcentral's name for it is "partial 16S ribosomal RNA". It matches the Rfam family "Bacterial small subunit ribosomal RNA", at positions 28 to 523 of the family's 1533-position model. The record is from RNAcentral.
GACGAACGCUGGCGGCGUGCUUAACACAUGCAAGUCGAACGAGACGAUUGAAAGCUUGCUUUCGAAAGUCGAGUGGCAAACGGGUGAGUAACGCGUAGACAACCUGCCUUUGAGAUGGGGACAACAGUUCGAAAGGACUGCUAAUACCGAAUGUUGUAUAUUUUCCACAUGGAAGAUAUAUUAAAGAUGGCCUCUAUUUAUAAGCUAUCGCUCAAAGAUGGGUCUGCGUCUGAUUAGCUGGUUGGUGGGGUAACGGCCUACCAAGGCGACGAUGAGUAGCCGGUCUGAGAGGAUGAACGGCAACAUGGGGACUGAGACACGGCCCAGACUCCUACGGGAGGCAGCAGUGGGGAAUCUUCCACAAUGGACGAAAGUCUGAUGGAGCAACGCCGCGUGAGUGAAGAAGGGUUUCGGCUCGUAAAGCUCUGUUGUCGGGGACGAAUGUGCAGUAUUUGAAUAAAGUACUGCAAUGACGGUAUCUGACGAGGAAGCCACGGCUAACUACGUGCCAGCCGCCGCCGCGG